This 253-nucleotide ribosomal RNA is filed under the name uncultured bacterium. RNAcentral's name for it is "partial 16S ribosomal RNA". It matches the Rfam family "Bacterial small subunit ribosomal RNA", at positions 524 to 776 of the family's 1533-position model. The record is from RNAcentral.
UACGAGGGGGGCGAGCGUUGUUCGGAAUUAUUGGGCGUAAAGGGUGCGUAGGCGGUUUGGUAAGUCUGAUGUGAAAUCUAUGGGCUCAACUCAUAGUCUGCAUCGGAAACUGCCGGGCUUGAGUACGAGAGAGGUGAGUGGAAUUCCCAGUGUAGAGGUGAAAUUCGUAGAUAUUGGGAAGAACACCGGUGGCGAAGGCGGCUCACUGGCUCGUAACUGACGCUCAUGCACGACAGCGUGGGGAUCAAACAGG